This 73-nucleotide transfer RNA is filed under the name Bos taurus (domestic cattle). It matches the Rfam family "tRNA". From Rfam's summary of the family: Transfer RNA (tRNA) molecules are approximately 80 nucleotides in length. Their secondary structure includes four short double-helical elements and three loops (D, anti-codon, and T loops). Further hydrogen bonds mediate the characteristic L-shaped molecular structure. tRNAs have two regions of fundamental functional importance: the anti-codon, which is responsible for specific mRNA codon recognition, and the 3' end, to which the tRNAs corresponding amino acid is attached (by aminoacyl-tRNA synthetases). tRNAs cope with the degeneracy of the genetic code in two manners: having more than one tRNA (with a specific anti-codon) for a particular amino acid; and 'wobble' base-pairing, i.e. permitting non-standard base-pairing at the 3rd anti-codon position. RNAcentral also lists the same sequence under 4 other names. The record is from Rfam by way of RNAcentral. Lineage: Eukaryota; Metazoa; Chordata; Mammalia; Artiodactyla; Bovidae.
UCCCUGGCAGUCCAGUGGAUAGGAUCCUGUACUUCUAAUGCAGGGGGUGUGGGUUUGAUCCCUGGUCAGGGAA